CCUACGGGGGACAGCAGUGAGGAAUAGUGGUCAAUGGGCGCGAGCCUGAACCAGCCAAGUCGCGUGAGGGAGGACGGCCCUACGGGUUGUAAACCUCUUUUGCCGGGGAGCAACGGGCGGCACGUGUGGCGCCACGGAGAGUACCCGGAGAAAAAGCAUCGGCGAACUCCGUGCCAGCAGCCGCGGUAAUACGGAGGAUGCGAGCGUUAGCCGGAUUUAUGGGGUUUAAAGGGGGCGUAGGCGGAUUGUUAAGUCAGGGGUCAAAUUUCGGGGCUCACCCCCUUCCCGCCAUUGAAACUGGCGCUCUUGCGUGGACGAGACGUCUGCGGCAUGCGUGGUGUAGCGG
Molecule: ribosomal RNA, 346 nt
Filed under: uncultured bacterium
Lineage: Bacteria
Description: partial 16S ribosomal RNA
Rfam family: Bacterial small subunit ribosomal RNA
Source: RNAcentral